RNAcentral lists this ribosomal RNA (183 nucleotides) under uncultured bacterium. Its description in RNAcentral is "partial 16S ribosomal RNA". It matches the Rfam family "Bacterial small subunit ribosomal RNA", at positions 1310 to 1500 of the family's 1533-position model. The record is from RNAcentral.
ACCCGACUCCGUGAAGCUGGAUUCGCUAGUAAUCGCGCAUCAGCCAUGGCGCGGUGAAUACGUUCCCGGGCCUUGUACACACCGCCCGUCAAGCCAUGGAAGCCGGGGGUGCCUGAAGUGUGCAGCCGCAAGGAGCGCCCUAAGGUAAAACCGGUGACUGGGGCUAAGUCGUAACAAGGUAAC